GGGUGCAGUGUCUCCACGGCCGGCAGGGGGCGCUCCGGAAGGCCCCACGAGGGCAAUGGCGGAUCCCAGUCAUGGCGGCUGCUCUGACACCCCAGGGCGGGCCCCAGCCUUCGGCCACGGGGCCGGUGGUCGGCAAGGGACAGGAGUACCGGUCCGUCCAGCUACGAGCAGGGAGACACCUCCCCCCCCCAAAAAAGGGAACCCCCCCCUCAAGGCCAGGAUGAACUUAGUCUGGAGACACUGAUGACAAGUGCAAUUAGGAGAGAUUCCCUCAUUCAACACUGUGAAUGAAGAGUGUGAGGACCUUUCCUGUGGUAGUGCCUGGAAAUGAAGACUCAGGCCUUGCUGUCACCUGUUCUGCCCCACCUCACUUCCCUCCCUAUUCAGUCUGAAAACCCUUCUCUCACAGGAAGGCCAAUAAAAAGUUUAGCUCUUUCA
Corapipo altera (White-ruffed manakin) is the source of this 438-nucleotide long non-coding RNA. RefSeq lists it as uncharacterized. The record is from RefSeq and is a predicted model, not a curated record. The transcript has 2 exons. Lineage: Eukaryota; Metazoa; Chordata; Aves; Passeriformes; Pipridae.